Molecule: ribosomal RNA, 292 nt
Filed under: uncultured bacterium
Lineage: Bacteria
Description: partial 16S ribosomal RNA
Rfam family: Bacterial small subunit ribosomal RNA
Source: RNAcentral
GUGUCAGCAGCCGCGGUAAGACAGAGGUGCCGAGCGUUAGGCGGAAUCACUGGGCUUAAAGCGUGUGUAGGCGGGCCCGUAAGUACCUUGUGAAAUCCCACCGCUCAACGGUGGAACUGCUCGGUAUACUGCGGGUCUUGAGCCACCUAGGGGCAGCCGGAACAAGCGGUGGAGCGGUGAAAUGCGUAGAUAUCGCUUGGAACGCCAACGGUGAAAACAGACUGCUGGGGGUGUGCUGACGCUGAGACACGAAAGCCAGGGGAGCGAACGGGAUUAGAAACCCCGGUAGUCC